AACGUAGGACGCAAGCGUUAUCCGGAGUUACUGGGCGUAAAGCGCGGGCAGGCGGUCUUGCCAGUCUGAUGUGAAAUCACCGUGCUCAACACGGCGAAGCCAUUGGAAACUACAAGACUGGAGACUGGCAGAGGUAGGCGGAAUUCCGGGUGGAGUGGUGAAAUGCGUAGAGAUCCGGAGGAACACCAGAGGCGAAGGCGGCCUACUGGGCCAGUACUGACGCUGAGCCGCGAAAGCCAGGGGAGCGAACGGG
RNAcentral lists this ribosomal RNA (253 nucleotides) under uncultured bacterium. RNAcentral describes it as "partial 16S ribosomal RNA". It matches the Rfam family "Bacterial small subunit ribosomal RNA", at positions 524 to 776 of the family's 1533-position model. The record is from RNAcentral.